Molecule: ribosomal RNA, 464 nt
Filed under: uncultured bacterium
Lineage: Bacteria
Description: partial 16S ribosomal RNA
Rfam family: Bacterial small subunit ribosomal RNA
Source: RNAcentral
ACGAACGCUGGCGGCGUGCUUAACCCAUGCAAGUCGAACGGAAGGGCCCUGCUUGCAGGGUACUCGAGUGGCGAACGGGGGAGAAACACGUGGGUGAUCUGCCCUCCACUCCGGGAUAAGCCGGGGAAACUGGGUCUAAUACCGGAUAGGAGCCAUUUUUAGUGUGAUGGUUGGAAGGUUUUUUCGGUGUGGGAUGAGCUCGCGGCCUAUCAGCUUGUUGGUGGGGUAAUGGCCUACCAAGGCGGCGACGGGUAGCCGGCCUGAGAGGGUGGACGGCCACAUUGGGACUGAGAUACGGCCCAGACUCCUACGGGAGGCAGCAGUGGGGAAUAUUGCACAAUGGGCGCAAGCCUGAUGCAGCGACGCCGCGUGGGGGAUGACGGCCUUCGGGUUGUAAACUCCUUUCGCUAGGGACGAAGCUUUUUGUGACGGUACCUAGAUAAGAAGCACCGGCUAACUACGUG